UCCGAUUUGUCCGCCUGGGGAGUACGGUCGCAAGAUUAAAACUCAAAGGAAUUGACGGGGACCCGCACAAGCGGUGGAUGAUGUGGAUUAAUUCGAUGCAACGCGAAUAACCUUACCUACCCUUGACAUGUACGGAAGCCCAGCGAGAGCUGGGUGUGCCCGAAAGGGAGCCGUAACACAGGUGCUGCAUGGCUGUCGUCAGCUCGUGUCGUGAGAUGUUGGGUUAAGUCCCGCAACGAGCGCAACCCUUGUCCCUAGUUGCUACGCAAGGGCACUCUAGGGAGACUGCCGGUGACAAACCGGAGGAAGGUGGGGAGACGUCUCCUUCCAUCACA
RNAcentral lists this unclassified non-coding RNA (335 nucleotides) under uncultured Gammaproteobacteria bacterium. RNAcentral describes it as "contains 16S-23S intergenic spacer region". It matches the Rfam family "Bacterial small subunit ribosomal RNA", at positions 859 to 1197 of the family's 1533-position model. Lineage: Bacteria; Pseudomonadati; Pseudomonadota; Gammaproteobacteria. The record is from RNAcentral.